AGGCCUGUAGCUCUAACGGCAGAGCACCCGGCUCCAAACCGGGUGGUUGGGGGUUCAAAUCCCUCCAGGCCUGCCU
Molecule: transfer RNA, 76 nt
Filed under: Caldifarciminota bacterium SM23_42
Lineage: Bacteria; Pseudomonadati; Caldifarciminota
Description: tRNA-Trp
Rfam family: tRNA
About the family: Transfer RNA (tRNA) molecules are approximately 80 nucleotides in length. Their secondary structure includes four short double-helical elements and three loops (D, anti-codon, and T loops).
Source: RNAcentral